This 497-nucleotide ribosomal RNA is filed under the name uncultured bacterium. Its description in RNAcentral is "partial 16S ribosomal RNA". It matches the Rfam family "Bacterial small subunit ribosomal RNA", at positions 28 to 507 of the family's 1533-position model. The record is from RNAcentral.
GACGAACGCUGGCGGCGUGCCUAAUACAUGCAAGUUGAGCGCUGAAGGUUGGUACUUGUACCAACUGGAUGAGCAGCGAACGGGGGAGUAACGCGUGGGGAAUCUGCCUUUGAGCGGGGGACAACAUUUGGAAACGAAUGCUAAUACCGCAUAAAAACUUUAAACACAAGUUUUAAGUUUGAAAGAUGCAAUUGCAUCACUCAAAGAUGAUCCCGCGUUGUAUUAGCUAGUUGGUGAGGUAAAGGCUCACCAAGGCGAUGAUACAUAGCCGACCUGAGAGGGUGAUCGGCCACAUUGGGACUGAGAAACGGCCCAAACCUCUACGGGAGGCAGCAGUAGGGAAUCUUCGGCAAUGGACGAAAGUCUGACCGAGCAACGCCGCGGGAGUGAAGAAGGGUUUCGGAUCGUAAAACUCUGUUGGUAGAGAAGAACGUUCGUGAGAGUGGAAAGCUCAUCAAGUGACGGUAACUACACAGAAAGGGACGGCUAACUACGUG